UCCUACGUGAGGCAGCAGUGGGGAAUUUUGGACAAUGGGCGCAAGCCUGAUCCAGCCAUGCCGCGUGGGGGAAGAAGGCCUUCGGGUUGUAAACCGCUUUUGUCGGGGAAGAAAUAGAUUGGUUUAAUACCAACAGAGUAAUGACCUACCCGCCGGAAGAGCCCCCGAUGU
RNAcentral lists this ribosomal RNA (171 nucleotides) under uncultured bacterium. Its description in RNAcentral is "partial 16S ribosomal RNA". It matches the Rfam family "Bacterial small subunit ribosomal RNA", at positions 337 to 500 of the family's 1533-position model. The record is from RNAcentral.